GCGAUCGAUCGUUGUAGAAAUCCAGCUACCGGAGCUCGUUCGUCGUGAAAGCUCAUCGGGAAUCCAUCCACUGUGGAAGCUCGGACAGAGUCUGAUUCUUGUGGGAGGCCGAAAGGAGGCCACUUAUUGUUGGAGCUCAGUCGAAGAUCGGUUGUUGUGGGAGCUUAGAGUAACGACCUGGCCGGUGGAUCCUGCCCCAUGGUACAAGCUCAUCUGAGAUCUGGCUAUGAAGAGGCUCAGCUAAAGGCUACCUGUAAUGGAAGUUCAGAAAAAAUAUAUUUACAGUAG
This 288-nucleotide long non-coding RNA is filed under the name Elaeis guineensis (African oil palm). RNAcentral describes it as "long non-coding RNA (EGUI_LNC040550)". The record is from RNAcentral. Lineage: Eukaryota; Viridiplantae; Streptophyta; Magnoliopsida; Arecales; Arecaceae.